RNAcentral lists this ribosomal RNA (254 nucleotides) under uncultured bacterium. Its description in RNAcentral is "partial 16S ribosomal RNA". It matches the Rfam family "Bacterial small subunit ribosomal RNA", at positions 524 to 776 of the family's 1533-position model. The record is from RNAcentral.
UACGUAGGGUGCAAGCGUUGUCCGGAAUCAUUGGGCGUAAAGCGCGUGUAGGCGGUCCGGUAAGUCCGCUGUGAAAGUCGAGGGCUCAACCCUCGAAUGCCGGUGGAUACUGUCGGGCUUGAGUACCGGAGAGGGUGGCGGAAUUCCCGGUGUAGGGGUGGAAAUUCGUAGAUAUCGGGAGGAACACCUGUGGCGAAGGCGGCCAACUGGACGAAUACUGACGCUGAGACACGAAAGCGUGGGGAGCAAACAGG